RNAcentral lists this ribosomal RNA (260 nucleotides) under uncultured marine eukaryote. RNAcentral's name for it is "partial 18S ribosomal RNA". It matches the Rfam family "Eukaryotic small subunit ribosomal RNA", at positions 619 to 879 of the family's 1831-position model. The record is from RNAcentral.
UUAAAAAGCUCGUAGUUGGAGUUCUGCCAGGUGACGACUACGUCCGCCCAAGUGGUGUGUACAGGGACGUGCAUCUGGCCCUUUCAAGGGGAACGUGUCUGCACUUUAUUGUGUGGUGCGAGAUCCUUGACUUUUACUUUGAGGAAAUAAGAGUGCUCCAAGCAGGCUCUCGUCGUGCAUAGCUCAGCAUGGAAUAAUAGCAUUGGACUUCGUUUCUAAGCUGUUGGUUUGCAAGAAGCGAGGUAAUGAUGAAGAGGGAU